This 799-nucleotide ribosomal RNA is filed under the name uncultured bacterium. RNAcentral describes it as "bacterial SSU rRNA". It matches the Rfam family "Bacterial small subunit ribosomal RNA", at positions 631 to 1422 of the family's 1533-position model. The record is from RNAcentral.
UACGGGCCGGCUNGAGUGCGGUAGGGGAGACUGGAACUCCUGGUGUAGCGGUGGAAUGCGCAGAUAUCAGGAAGAACACCGGUGGCGAAGGCGGGUCUCUGGGCCGUUACUGACGCUGAGGAGCGAAAGCGUGGGGAGCGAACAGGAUUAGAUACCCUGGUAGUCCACGCCGUAAACGUUGGGCACUAGGUGUGGGGGGCCUUUUCCGGGUCUUCCGCGCCGUAGCUAACGCAUUAAGUGCCCCGCCUGGGGAGUACGGCCGCAAGGCUAAAACUCAAAGGAAUUGACGGGGGCCCGCACAAGCGGCGGAGCAUGCGGAUUAAUUCGAUGCAACGCGAAGAACCUUACCAAGGCUUGACAUGUGCCGGUCGGCUCCGGAGACGGGGUUUCCUCCUUGUGGGGCCGGUUCACAGGUGGUGCAUGGUUGUCGUCAGCUCGUGUCGUGAGAUGUUGGGUUAAGUCCCGCAACGAGCGCAACCCUUGUCCCGUGUUGCCAGCACGUUGUGGUGGGGACUCGCGGGAGACUGCCGGGGUCAACUCGGAGGAAGGUGGGGAUGACGUCAAAUCAUCAUGCCCCUUAUGUCUUGGGCUUCACGCAUGCUACAAUGGCCGGUACAGAGGGCUGCGAUACCGUGAGGUGGAGCGAAUCCCUUAAAGCCGGUCUCAGUUCGGAUCGGUGUCUGCAACUCGACACCGUGAAGUUGGAGUCGCUAGUAAUCGCAGAUCAGCAACGCUGCGGUGAAUACGUUCUCGGGCCUUGUACACACCGCCCGUCGCGUCAUGAAAGUCGGCAACACCC